This 871-nucleotide ribosomal RNA is filed under the name Rothia mucilaginosa. RNAcentral's name for it is "bacterial SSU rRNA". It matches the Rfam family "Bacterial small subunit ribosomal RNA". Lineage: Bacteria; Bacillati; Actinomycetota; Actinomycetes; Micrococcales; Micrococcaceae. The record is from RNAcentral.
GAUGAACGCUAGCGGCAGGCCUAACACAUGCAAGUCGAGGGAGAGGUUAUCUUCGGGUAACCAAAACCGGCGCACGGGUGCGUAACGCGUAUACAAUCUGCCUUUCACAUAGGGAUAGCCCGAAGAAAUUUGGAUUAAUACCUAAUGGUAUAUAAGAGCGGCAUCGUUUUUAUAUUAAAGCUACGGUGGUGAAAGAUGAGUAUGCGUUCUAUUAGCUAGUUGGAGAGGUAACGGCUCCCCAAGGCGACGAUAGAUAGGGGUUCUGAGAGGGAUGUCCCCCACACUGGUACUGAGAUACGGACCAGACUCCUACGGGAGGCAGCAGUGAGGAAUAUUGGACAAUGGUCGGAAGACUGAUCCAGCCAUGCCGCGUGCAGGAUGAAGGUCCUAUGGAUUGUAAACUGCUUUUGUAAGGGAAGAAUAAGGAGUACGUGUACUUUGAUGACGGUACCUUACGAAUAAGCAUCGGCUAACUCCGUGCCAGCAGCCGCGGUAAUACAGAGGAUGCGAGCGUUAUCCGGAAUCAUUGGGUUUAAAGGGUCCGGCAGGCGGGCUGAUAAGUCAGAGGUGAAAACGCUUAGCUCAACUAAGCAACUGCCUUUUAAACUGUCAGUCUCGAAUGAUUGUGAAGAACUUGAAAAGUGUAGUGGGGCGCUGAAAUGCUUAUAUAUCACACACAACUCAUCCACCGACGCGUAAUUCUUCCAAUUUUCUUAUUGCCUGUGUAGAAAAGCUGCGGAGUUAAAACGAUUACAUACUCAAAUAUUAAAGGGGAGGACCACCCGGAGGUAAAAGCUUUCGAUGCCCGCCCUCUCCGGGGGGGGGCGCGGCCCCCCCGUGUUGUCUGCUUUUUUUACUGCUUAAAAGAUGG